GAAUCUCAGCCCCUUCUCCAAGACGUCCAUCCACCACGGCUCCCCGGGGCCCCUCUCCGUCUACCCCCCGGCCUCGUCCUCCUCCUUGUCGGGGGGCCACGCCAGCCCGCACCUCUUCACCUUCCCGCCCACCCCGCCGAAGGACGUCUCCCCGGACCCAUCGCUGUCCACUCCAGGCUCGGCCGGCUCGGCCCGGCAGGACGAGAAAGAGUGCCUCAAGUACCAGGUGCCGCUGCCCGACAGCAUGAAGCUGGAGUCGUCCCACUCCCGUGGCAGCAUGACCGCCCUGGGUGGGGCCUCCUCGUCGGCCCACCACCCCAUCACCACCUACCCGCCCUACGUGCCCGAGUACAGCUCCGGACUCUUCCCCCCCAGCAGCCUGCUGGGCGGCUCCCCCACCGGCUUCGGAUGCAAGUCCAGGCCCAAGGCCCGGUCCAGCACAGUCUGCAGCCAGGAGAGCAGGGACGUCCUGUGCAAACUGUCAGACCACCACAACCACACUCUGGAGGAGGAAUGCCAAUGGGGACCCUGUCUGCAAUGCCUGUGGGCUCUACUACAAGCUUCACAAUAUUAACAGACCCCUGACUAUGAAGAAGGAAGGCAUCCAGACCAGAAACCGAAAAAUGUCUAGCAAAUCCAAAAAGUGCAAAAAAGUGCAUGACUCACUGGAGGACUUCCCCAAGAACAGCUCGUUUAACCCGGCCGCCCUCUCCAGACACAUGUCCUCCCUGAGCCACAUCUCGCCCUUCAGCCACUCCAGCCACAUGCUGACCACGCCCACGCCGAUGCACCCGCCAUCCAGCCUGUCCUUUGGACCGCACCACCCCUCCAGCAUGGUCACCGCCAUGGGUUAGAGCCCUGCUCGAUGCUCACAGGGCCCCCAGCGAGAGUCCCU
RNAcentral lists this small RNA (895 nucleotides) under Pan troglodytes (chimpanzee). Its description in RNAcentral is "processed transcript". Lineage: Eukaryota; Metazoa; Chordata; Mammalia; Primates; Hominidae. The record is from RNAcentral.